GAUGAACGCUGGCGGCGUGCCUAAUACAUGCAAGUAGAACGCUGAAGCUUGGUGCUUGCACCGAGUGGAAGAGUUGCGAACGGGUGAGUAACGCGUAGGUAACCUGCCUCUUAGCGGGGGAUAACUAUUGGAAACGAUAGCUAAUACCGCAUAAAAGUCAAUAUCGCAUGAUAUUGAUUUGAAAGGUGCAAAUGCAUCACUAAGAGAUGGACCUGCGUUGUAUUAGCUAGUUGGUGAGGUAACGGCUCACCAAGGCGACGAUACAUAGCCGACCUGAGAGGGUGAUCGGCCACCUGGGACUGAGACCGGCCCAGACUCCUACGGGAGGCAGCAGUAGGGAAUCUUCGGCAAUGGACGGAAGUCUGACCGAGCAACGCCGCGCGAGUGAAGAAGGUUUUCGGAUCGUAAAGCUCUGUUGUAAGAGAAGAACGAGUGUGAGAGUGGAAAGUUCACACUGUGACGGUAACUUACAGAAAGGCGG
RNAcentral lists this ribosomal RNA (481 nucleotides) under Streptococcus parasanguinis. RNAcentral describes it as "bacterial SSU rRNA". It matches the Rfam family "Bacterial small subunit ribosomal RNA", at positions 28 to 493 of the family's 1533-position model. Lineage: Bacteria; Bacillati; Bacillota; Bacilli; Lactobacillales; Streptococcaceae. The record is from RNAcentral.